AAAAGUAUGUAUAUUAAAUUAUAAAACUUAACGAUACUAGUGUGGGAGAUGUACUCCAUUGUCCUCUCCUACAUUUUUAUGUGGCUACAAAUGUUGUGGUCUCCAAGAAGUAGAAAAAAACAAAAAAAAACCCAAAAAACUUUCCCGUUCCUAUGUGUAGAACAAAAUGCUCCCCCUGCCCUAAUGUGUAGACCUAAUUUCAACACUGGCACUAAGACUUGAUGGCAUAUGAACUUGGGUAAGGUCUUUAAAGCCCUAUGAGCUUUAGCUCCCAGAUUUGUAACAAAAUGUAAUGGUGUUGCCUCCCAUGCAGAAUAGUGUGAGGAUGAAGAAGGUAUCCAGGUGUACCUCAUUUUCUUUUCUUCCCUAGACUUUUCUCCUUCAUGAUGCUUCUUUAGAGUUUCAGAGAUUAGAAAAGCCUUUUCCAAACUUUUUUGAUCCGUGUCCACAGUAACCACUUCAUAAACCACUAGGACAAUUAUAUACAUAAGUAUAUGUAAUGAAAGUGAUCCCCUAAUUUAUUGUAAAAAUUGGGAAAAUUAUUACUUUUGAAGAUAAUAACUGCUGAUCCAACAGGAAUAAACUGGGGGUGUUCUUGGAAAACGGAGCCACAUGUCAGAAAAACACUUAACCUUAUUUAUUUUGAUGCAUCCUGUUAAUUUAUCAUGUAUUCUAGUUAAUUAUAAAAAUGCUUUUCAGUAUCUAUUAAACUGAUUUUGUAACCCACUAAUGAAUCCCUACCCAAGUAUUUUGAUUCCUUCUAAAGUCUUGUCUGACCGUUCCACCAUUCUUGGGAUCCAGAAGCGCUGAAGAUUAGCAUACACAAAUAUGGAGAAGUUCUGGAAAACUGAAGGGGUUCUAAUUCCCAUAGGUACACAUAUUCUGUUUCUCUUCAUUCAUUCAUUACCUAUUUUUGCAUCCACUCAUUCGUCAAAUACUUGGAGCACUUUCUGUAUUAACAAGUGCUGGUAAUGAUCAGAUCCUGGAUGCUGGAACCUGGUGGUCCCUACCCUUGAGGAAUUCUUGCCUUCUGGCGGGGCAAACGCAUCUGAAGAUACAUCAUUUCAGGACAGGGAGAUAAGUGGUGCUGUACAGAGAUGAUCAAAAGGUCUUAGGAACCUGGAAGAAGGAUCCACCAACUUCGGCAGGGAGGAAGGAGGGUUCCGGGGAGAAGAGUGACAUUUAAAUGUAUGAAGUUCUCAAGGAAGCCAUGGAGGCAUCAGGGCGUUGGCUGAGCUACCGCCAACCAGCCUCUAGGCUGCUCCACGUGGCUCUUUCGCCAGGGCAGGAGCGGUUCUGGGGCUGACUUGCAGCCCCAUCUACCCCUGCGGUAUUUCUCAGAUUUACUUUAAACGUCAUGAGAGUACUCAACCCCGCUCUAUUUUGGUCCCCCCAAACUAGCUGACCCAUCCAACUUACCCUGCUUGAAUUUUUUCCUAGCAUUUUACACCUUCUAAAUACACUAUAUAAUUUACUUAUCCGGUAUGUUUACUACCUGUUUCGUCCUCCUGGAACUUAAGCUGAAGGAGAGGAUUAGUCAGUUUCGUUUGCUUCGGUGUUCCGCCCGCCCCUUGCCUAGUCCGUUCACAACAGGUUCCUGAUAAAUAAUGGGCAUGACCUGAAAGAGCAAAUUUCUGUAUCCAAGACAUAAUUUCCAUGGGCUCAUUUCUGAAGGAAAGUGUAGAGGAAAAUCAAGACCUACAAGGAACCAUUUCUAAUAACAGCCUUUUCGUCCUUCGCUUCAACAGUGUUUAUUGAUCACCUGCUCCCCAUCAGCCCUGCUUUGAGCACUUGGAUUUCAGAGAGGAGGACAGAUCUUCUUUUCUGUCUUCUUGGCGUUCACCUGCCGGAAUGGAAGCAGACGUUAAUGAGCUAUGUAAUUGCAAAUCUGAGAGAUCUACAAAGGAAAAAAAAAAGUACAGGAUGCUCUAAAAGCCUGAAACGGUAAGCUUCACACCCAGUGCAGAGCUCAAACUCAGAACCCCGAGAUCAAGACCUGAGCUGAGAUCAAGAGUCAGAUGGUUAAACGUCUGAGCCAACCAGCGCCCCUCUGGCACUAGAUUAAUUCUAAUUUGCUGUUAUAGCUUCUGAUGGUUCUUCCCAGUAGUUGUUCUACUUUUAAUUGGUUAAUUAAUGAGUUGUUCAAGGUCUGACUCUUUCUAGAACAUAAGGCACACGAAGGCUGGAACCAUGUGCCAGCCCCCAGUACCUAGCCCAGUGCUAUUUGCAUAUGUAGUGAGAAUUUAAUAAAUGGUUGGUAGAAUAAAUGCCUGUAUGGGUUUUAAAAAACCUUA
Molecule: long non-coding RNA, 2294 nt
Organism: Herpailurus yagouaroundi (jaguarundi)
Lineage: Eukaryota; Metazoa; Chordata; Mammalia; Carnivora; Felidae
Exons: 2
Source: RefSeq, a predicted model, not a curated record